This 402-nucleotide long non-coding RNA is filed under the name Citrus sinensis (sweet orange). RNAcentral's name for it is "long non-coding RNA (CSIN_LNC001187)". The record is from RNAcentral. Lineage: Eukaryota; Viridiplantae; Streptophyta; Magnoliopsida; Sapindales; Rutaceae.
UACAACUCUGCAACUCAGAGUUGAUAUCACAAAGCUACACUUUUUGGAGUAAGUGCUGACUCCCGCAAAAAGAAGCAAAAAGAUUUGAAAUUAAUGGAGAAACAGAGAUUGCAGGAGAAGACGGAGAGAGAAGAAGAAAUAUUUUCCAUUUUUCCUUCAUUUCUAUGACGUGUUCCCCUCUACAUAUAUCUUUUACCCCUUAACAUUACACGUGUAACUAACCAACAAAUGAAUGAUUUAAAGAAAAAACAGUCAUAACAAAAUCACAGCUGCUAUCUUUUCCACUCUCUUUGUGCCUUCUCGAAUAUUCCUUAGGUAAUGUAAUCUUUGAGGUAUGUUGGUGCCCUGCGCAUACGAGCUGGACCUUUUGUGUGCUCCUCAACCAGCUGGGCUUCUUUCUCU